CUAGAUUAGGCCUUGUCUUUUCCUCCCCUGGAGGAGGUGGCUGAUUCUUACCAUGCAGUACUUGAGCAGGACACAGGGAAUAAUUGUUCAAGGUCACUCAUUCUGUUUCUGCAGUACAAAGUGAAGCAGGAAUAUUUUUUUUCCCUCUGUAAAUUUGGGAUACUAUCAGCAGACUAGUCAUCCAGGAAAUUAAAAAGCAGAAAGCAGAAUCUACCAAGUAGACUCAAUUAAGAUCUCCCCUUGAUCUUAUACAGUCCUGAGCCUUUUUCAAAGUAAAUUUCACUGACAUGGAAGUCUUUUUGACUGAACACAUUUCCCCAGUUGUGGUCUACAGGAUGCUGUUUUCUUAAGCUCAUACUAGUGUUCCAUGAAAAAAAAAAUUAACUAUUGCAAGUUUGUUUUCAGCAGACUACCUCCAAGGUCUUAAUAUACUAAUGCAUAUUAUAAUUUUGCAUGCUGUAUUUCUGAAAAUUAUUUGAUGAGGGAGACUUUCUCCAGUAACACAAGCACCACCUUGCAGGAUUAUCCCAUCUUAGAAAUGUCCAUCUAGGAGGGCUAGCUGGAUGUCACUGGUGAAAGCCAGGCCGAAACAUUCAAACUCCAGUAACCUGAGUGGGAUGUGGAGGAGCAGGAAUAGAGCAGACGUUGAGUGAUGGACGGGUCUGUGUCCCGGCUAGAUGAGAACUGCCCCCAAUUAAAGCUAGAGAAAGAACAGAGAGUUGUUUGUGGAGGGUGGCCAUGCGCUUGGCCAGCGUGGCUCACCUUGACCUGGUUGGUCACGCCAGCAUUGCUGGGUACAGUCGUUCCCCAGGGAUGGGGCAUCUUUGCUCUGCUCACUUUCUGCUCUUGCAGAUUUUUCCUGAUUUACAGUGGGUGGAUUGAAUGAGGAAACUUAUCUUCCCCCAACAGUUUGGUAACUUCCUCUUCCUAAAUUGGGAAGUCAAGAUGACUGAAAUUGGGAAAGUACUA
This 969-nucleotide long non-coding RNA is filed under the name Marmota monax (woodchuck). Lineage: Eukaryota; Metazoa; Chordata; Mammalia; Rodentia; Sciuridae. The record is from RNAcentral.